This is a long non-coding RNA of Ornithodoros turicata, 502 nucleotides long. RefSeq lists it as uncharacterized. The transcript has 2 exons. The record is from RefSeq and is a predicted model, not a curated record. Lineage: Eukaryota; Metazoa; Arthropoda; Arachnida; Ixodida; Argasidae.
UUUCUCGAUCAUGAUUGGCUGAGGCUCAUUUAACCGGUGGAUUCUCCCGCGUUCGUUUCUCCAAGGCGCCGACCCGUCUGACCGUUGUAUAGCUGGCGUCUACGUAUGUGAGCAGACGGUGAUUUCGUUUCGUGGAUUUCGAAGAUGUUCGAGCCAUGGUCGAACGCCUGAAUGAAAGACGCCGACAGCUGUUCGUUGCCUUGCGAUCCGCGAGCAUGUGGCCCCUGUCACCUGAAAAUUCUACAGUUGUGCUGGGAUGAAGCGGACGGCUUCUGCGACUCAUCACGUGCUAUGUACGUGUGUAAUAAUAUCUACUUUGUCCAAACCUAAUAGGUUCCCUUAAGGAUUGUAUAAUAUGAUAGUCACGCUUUCUGUUGCUCGGCACUAUUUAUUCUUUAUUUAUUCUGCAGUAUUCUGUAAUAAUCGUGUAGAUUUACUUGCAUUCAAAUGUUGCUCCUUGUUUAUAUGUUUACUGUGUCAAUAAAUUUGUACAUGUGAAUUC